UGGUGCAUGGUUGUCGUCAGCUCGUGUCGUGAGAUGUUGGGUUAAGUCCCGCAACGAGCGCAACCCUUGUCUUUAGUUGCCAUCAUUAAGUUGGGCACUCUAGAGAGACUGCCAGGGAUAACCUGGAGGAAGGUGGGGAUGACGUCAAAUCAUCAUGCCCCUUAUGCUUAGGGCUACACACGUGCUACAAUGGGUAGUACAGAGGGUUGCCAAGCCGUAAGGUGGAGCUAAUCCCUUAAAGCUACUCUCAGUUCGGAUUGUAGGCUGAAACUCGCCUACAUGAAGCUGGAGUUACUAGUAAUCGCAGAUCAGAAUGCUGCGGUGAAUGCGUUCCCGGGUCUUGUACACACCGCCCGUCACACCACGGGAGUUGGAGACGCCCGAAGCCGAUU
This 392-nucleotide ribosomal RNA is filed under the name Clostridioides difficile. RNAcentral describes it as "bacterial SSU rRNA". It matches the Rfam family "Bacterial small subunit ribosomal RNA", at positions 1039 to 1432 of the family's 1533-position model. Lineage: Bacteria; Bacillati; Bacillota; Clostridia; Peptostreptococcales; Peptostreptococcaceae. The record is from RNAcentral.